RNAcentral lists this ribosomal RNA (463 nucleotides) under Tilletiopsis sp. B-TB2005. Its description in RNAcentral is "LSU rRNA". It matches the Rfam family "Eukaryotic large subunit ribosomal RNA", at positions 110 to 575 of the family's 3401-position model. Lineage: Eukaryota; Fungi; Basidiomycota; Exobasidiomycetes; Entylomatales. The record is from RNAcentral.
CAAAUUUUGAAAGCUGGCGUCUUCGGCGUCCGCAUUGUAAUCUCGAGAAGUGUUUUCCGCGUUGGACCAUGUACAAGUUCCUUGGAACAGGACGUCAUAGAGGGUGAGAAUCCCGUACUUGACAUGGAUGCCCAACGCUUUGUGAUACGCUCUCCACGAGUCGAGUUGUUUGGGAAUGCAGCUCAAAAUGGGUGGUAAAUUCCAUCUAAAGCUAAAUAUUGGGGAGAGACCGAUAGCGAACAAGUACCGUGAGGGAAAGAUGAAAAGCACUUUGGAAAGAGAGUUAAACAGUACGUGAAAUUGUUGAAAGGGAAGCGCUUGAAGUCAGACAUGCUGCUGAGACUCAACCUUGGUUUUCCUUGGUGUACUUCUCAGUUGGCAGGCCAGCAUCAGUUUUGGCUGUUGGAUAAGGGUAGGAGGAAUGUGGCAUCCUCGGAUGUGUAUAGCCUCUUACUGAUACAAC